UUAUUAUAAAUGGGUUGUGACGGGUUUCAGAAGUCUGUUUUGGAUUAAUAGCGCCUGAGUACUUUAGUUCUAAUUUUUAAUCGACUGUCUAGAUAGGUUUAACUUAGAAUAUUUUUGUACGUUAUGAUCGUAGUAUGGAUGUGAUGGUAUGAAUGUAUGUUGAUAAUCUAUUUGCAUUUUUUGGUUAUACUUUCAUGAAUUGUUUAAUAUUUAUUAUUUCCUGUCUUGAAUUGGAUAUAUCAGCGGAUGAUUUAGAUAAUCGGAGAAGAGAAGGAAAAAUAAUCUUUUAACGCCUCCUCGAUAUCGAUACCGUUACAGUGUAUCUUUGUAUGCCCUCUGGGCCCAAAAUUGGAAAUGAAUUACUUACUUAGUCGUAUAUGAAAGGUGAAGAUAACGAACAGUGAUCAAUCUCAUAACUCCUAUAAGCAAUACAAAAUAGAGUUGGGCAAACAUGGACCCCUGGAUAUACCAGAGGUGGGAUCAAGUGUCUAGAAGGCCUAAGCACCCCCUGUCGACCGACCACACCCGCCGUGAGCCCUAUAUCUUGAUCAAAUGAUCAAUACGUAAAAUGGUUGACUGAAUAUAUUGCAUAAUUUGUUUCCUGUUUAUUAAAAACGUGAAUCUUCCGCAUUCACUAACGUUCCAUCAGGAUAUAACACACUUAACUAUUAUUGAAAAAUAAAUAUUUGAAGGGAAAUAAAUCAUAGGGUUUCCAUUCUAUGUUUCCAAAGCGUAGAUCGAAUGGAAUUGAUAUUUCAAAUGAAAAUUUUUAAUUCACAAGGAUGUCGAGAUAUCAUAGGAUUAGCCUUAUUGGCUUUAACACUCAAUGCGGAAACAACAAAUAAAGGCAACUGUAUGAACGAUCGGUAGGUCAAACAAGGGUAUGUACGUAGACAAAUAGCCAACUGUUAAAAUGGACACGAUAUUAAUAUUUCUAUAUGUACUCUUUAUUACAUAUUUUGAUAUUUUUUCCUAUAGAUUCUAUUUAGAGUGCCUGAGCUUUUAUUGAGCUAUGAUUGUCGGUAAUGCGGACGCUCAGGGGCUAUUUGACUUAAAUGUGACAUUUGCCUACAUAACACGAUUAUUGUGAUAUCAGAUUUCAAGACCCUAUAUUGAGAAUAGACUUAAGUCUAUAUUUCGAUUCCAAUUAAUUUUUGAAAUAAUUUUCAUAAGCAAAAAACAUUUUCAAAAUAUGUUUGUAUUUGAUUUGUAUAAAUAAACCAGCAUUUUUUUUUUAAAAUCUGUGGUAAUGAAAUCUUAAAUUAUAAGUAAGCAACAUUUUGAUUAAAGCCUAUUCUCAGUUUAUGGUCUUGUGAGUGAAAUCAAUCUAGUGAAAAGGUAGAUCUACUUGUAUAUCAAUACAUUUGGAAUUUUAAUCAUAGGUUAAUUUUUUCUCAAUAUUUACUGAAUUUACAACAGUACACAAUUUAAUCCUUUGUAAAAGUACAAAUGUAUUGAAAAUAUCAUAAUAUAGAUAUUCCUGUUAGAUUUAUUGGAAGAUAGAAUCUAAAUACAAAUUUUUUCCCAAAGGCGAGUGCUGCAUUUUUACCAUAACAAUGGUGGUUACCCUCCCUGUCCUACAGGUUCCUAUGGAGAUAACUGUUCCACUACUUGUCCAUACCCGUCGUAUGGGGAGAACUGUGGUUUCCAGUGUAAAUGUAGUGCGGAUGAAGUGUGUAGUCCCCAUAUAGGGUGUGUCAAAACAAGUACUGCAUCCACUUUUUCUACAAAAACCAAAGCCGGAAACUACAUGACGUCCACUCAAAACUCCAUAAACCCGGAAAUUGAUGCUGCAAUAAAUAACACCUCUUGUAUGUCCAAAUAAUUAUGAAAAGCCGAAAUUUUAUUCAACUUCCUUCAUGUAUUACGCUUUCAUAUUUCAGUGAAAAGUACAAAAGUUUAAACGCAUACAAAAGGAUCAUUCUUGGAUAUCUUUUGUUUUCAAUGUUGUCUUCCCAUAAUGUUUCAUAGUAACAAAAUGUGAACUUAGUAUUCUAUUUUACUAGUGAUUUUCUUCCUUUUUUCAAAAUAGCAUCUUUUGCAUUGACUAACAAAUCAUCCACUUCUAUUUCCCUUUACUUCUCUUCUGUCAUUUCAACACCUUUCUAUGUGAUGAAGUAGUUUUAAUGUACAGAAAAGUCGUUUUAAAGGUGACAAUGUAUAAACCUGACAAUAUAGGAAGGUUAUUGAAAGUUCGCAUAUGUAAAAAUAAUAUAUGUAGCUAUUCUCAAACUUAAUUUAGAAACUAUUUUCAAUGGAGAAAAAUAUCACAUGAACAUAUCCAGUUAUUCAAUGGCAGCUUUUGAAUUCUAUAAAUCCAUCAAAUAAAGUACAUGUACACGGGAAAAGGUAAGUAAAUCAAACAAGUAUUUAUAAUAUUUCCGUUUAUCUACCCGUCUCACUUAGUAUUUGUAGCUGAUAAAUCCUAUUCCCUAGAAAUAAAAAAGAUGUCAACUUUAACUAUUAUGACAUGAAAUCCCCGGUAAUAAUUACACUAGAGGUGAACUAGUGCUUGAAAUGAAAAAGUGUCUUUGGUGGACAUUAUACCGAUAAAUCACCAUUCAUUUAAAAUAUAAAUUCUGCCUUUUCAUAUUAUGUUGUGUCUAUUUUACGAUAUUAAAAUUGAAUGCUAGGGCGUUCCAUUUAUUUAUUCUGAUUAUCCUCACAAAGCAUCCAUGAUAAAAACUUCGUGUAAUUUCGGAUAAAUCUCUUUUUAUCUUAAUAUUGAUGUUUUCAAGAUGAAAAAGACGUACAUAAUAUCCGAUUUUCAAUGUCCAAGACAUUGUUCACCACCAUUUUCUCACUACUUUUAAAUCUGACGGUCAAUCUGGAGUUCACGCGUGGGUUGAAAUUGGUUUUAAAAACCAAACAUACAGGUUUAUCACAACACUUACAGCAAACCCCAAAGUGGCAUAUCUAAAGUUGAAAUGGAAUGAAAGGUGAGUUAGGUGUCUUUAUUAUAUAUCGAAUCAAACAUAUUUCAUUUAUUUGCUGCGGUGUACCAUCUCACUGCUUAUUACUUCUUUAUGCUAAAUACAUGUAGAUGAUAUUUGGUGCAAGGAAUUAUAAGUAGUAUUUUUGAAACUGAGAUGUCUUAUUUUUUUUUAUAUUAAAUAUUGUAAUAUUUCCCUCAGAUUUUUCGCUAUGGAAUCAAUGUUACAUUCUGUCAUUCUUAAAUUAGGGAGAACGUACAGAAAGGAUUAUUGUUUUCUACUUUCAUGAAUUAUUGAUAAAAAAAUUCAGUUGCUGAUAUAUCAAGAAUUUCAUAAUAUUUUUAUAGAUAUUCAACAAUUCAAAUCUAUUGUCUAAAAUUCGAAUUAUUGGUGUCCAGAAUUCACCUCGUCUUUUCAUAUCAGUAAAAAGAUAGGAAUUUAAGGAGGGAUUUGGCUUCACUAACGGGAGCUUUAGCUACAACUCCAGAUGAUCCAGCCCUACAACCACCAACAUGUGAUGCGAAUUUCCAUAAUCCAGAAGCUCAAUAUUUGCUGUGUUUCACGUAGUUGAAAUGAAGUGUCCUCUCAAUCACAUGCAGCACAUUCAACAAUAGAUGAUGCAAUACAGUCUAAAGAGCCUUGAGUCAACCCAUCCCUGCUAUCACUAUGCCCAAGGAUAUUUCCAUUUAUACAACAAUAACGGUUGUGAUUUGAUUAUUUCGACUAAAGUAGGCUGUCAAAUUGUUCGGAUCAUGAAGGACUCCGAGUUGACAAAAAAAAACCCCACAUUGCACAGCCGAUACGAUUUUUUCAACGCUUUUAUUCCUGAAAUAAUUCAAGGGAACAUACAAGCAGAGCUGCCGUAUACGGUGCAAAUUAUUUUACAUCCACAUAGCCAGCUUGUCAAAUAUGCCAAGUAGCCAUUUUAAUCCCUAAGUGAAGAGGGUGUACCGAUAGAGUAGAGUAACUUGCCCCGGGAUACAAAUGAUACCACAGAAUUUAGCUACUGACCGGAGGUUUUUCAGCACUGUAUACUGUAUCAUUUAUAUGUGAACAUGUUAUAAAACUUAUAAGCAAAUGAUUUUCCUAGGUGAAAAUGAGACAUGAGAUAAAAUAUUUUAUCAUCUGAAAUGAUGAAAUAACAAUUUAAUCAAGUUGUUUCUUUCAAAAGGGUGCUUGCAAUGUUACAAGAGAGCUACAAAGUUGGAAAAUAUUUGUUGAUAUAGGUGUGUAUAUUGCUGGAAUGUGACGGAGAAUUUUAUGGUUCUUGAUACCCUCAUUUGCUUUUUCAACAUGACUACGGACUCUCGCUAUCU
RNA transcript from Ostrea edulis (European flat oyster), 4249 nucleotides. RefSeq lists it as uncharacterized. The record is from RefSeq and is a predicted model, not a curated record. Lineage: Eukaryota; Metazoa; Mollusca; Bivalvia; Ostreida; Ostreidae. The transcript is spliced from 4 exons.